GCUGUGGCUUAGUGGUAGGGCAUCUGCUUUGCAUGCAGAAGGUUUCGGGUUCAAUUCCUGGUGUCUCCA
This 69-nucleotide transfer RNA is filed under the name Sphaerodactylus townsendi. RNAcentral's name for it is "tRNA-Ala". It matches the Rfam family "tRNA". From Rfam's summary of the family: Transfer RNA (tRNA) molecules are approximately 80 nucleotides in length. Lineage: Eukaryota; Metazoa; Chordata; Lepidosauria; Squamata; Sphaerodactylidae. The record is from RNAcentral.